AUUCCAGCUCCAAUAGCGUAUACUAAAGUUGUUGCAGUUAAAAAGCUCGUAGUUGAAUUUCUGGUCUUGGACAGCGGUCUGCCUCAAAAGAGGUACGCACCAUCUAUCCGAGUCCAUCCUCGGGGAAAACAUGUGUGUGAUUCAGUUCAUGUGCAUGGGAUCCUCGUCAUUUACUUUGAGGAAAUUAGAGUGUUUCAAGCAGGCAUACGCCUUGAAUACAUUAGCAUGGAAUAAUAAGAUAGGACUUUGGCGUCUAUUUUGUUGGUUUGCACACCAAGGUAAUGAUUAAUAGGGAUAGUUGGGGGUAUUCGUAUUUAAUUGUCAGAGGUGAAAUUCUUGGAUUUAUGAAAGACGAACUUCUGCGAAAGCAUUUACCAAAGAUGUUUUCAUCG
RNAcentral lists this ribosomal RNA (392 nucleotides) under Chrysophyceae sp. RNAcentral describes it as "partial small subunit ribosomal RNA". It matches the Rfam family "Eukaryotic small subunit ribosomal RNA", at positions 582 to 975 of the family's 1831-position model. Lineage: Eukaryota; Chrysophyceae. The record is from RNAcentral.